GGGCUGGAGAGCGCUGCGGCCGGCGGCGUCACCGGCUCCAGCUUGGUGAUGGCGUGAUAGCCGAUCGGGUCGGCCUCGGCCGGC
This 84-nucleotide transfer RNA is filed under the name Pseudomonas sp. THAF42. RNAcentral describes it as "tRNA-Trp". Lineage: Bacteria; Pseudomonadati; Pseudomonadota; Gammaproteobacteria; Pseudomonadales; Pseudomonadaceae. RNAcentral also lists the same sequence under 1 other name. The record is from RNAcentral.